CUAAAAUCGUUUAUGUAAGAGAAGUAGGUAUACUAAAGUCGUUUCAGAGAGCUGGAAUUGGUGGGAUCCAGUACGAAUAGGUAUGCUGAAUGGACUUACAAGAGGUUUUCUGAACAUGUUUUUUAAGUAGGAAAACACGGAGUUCCGCCGUUACACGGAUAGGAUAUCGAUUCCCAUAACAUCUGGGCUUCCGUAUCUGAACAAGAUGAAAAGAGAAAGAUUCUCUUUUCAAGAGAGGUGGCACCGCGGUCACAAUCGUCCUCUAU
This 266-nucleotide non-coding RNA is filed under the name Oceanobacillus picturae. Its description in RNAcentral is "T-box sequence". It matches the Rfam family "T-box leader". Rfam says of the family: Uncharged tRNA acts as the effector for transcription antitermination of genes in the T-box leader family. The record is from RNAcentral. Lineage: Bacteria; Bacillati; Bacillota; Bacilli; Caryophanales; Bacillaceae.